RNAcentral lists this long non-coding RNA (1571 nucleotides) under Olea europaea subsp. europaea. The record is from RNAcentral. Lineage: Eukaryota; Viridiplantae; Streptophyta; Magnoliopsida; Lamiales; Oleaceae.
AAUAAGUGAAUGAAUCGGAAUAUUAGCAAACCUAAAGACAUAUAAUUUUAAACUUUAUGCAAUGGUUUGAUUUCAAAUAUUUAUGUCAAACUUCUUUGUUACUACAAGCACAAUGGAGAUAGCAUUAGGGUCUUACACUUGAGUGAUUUGCCGACUUUCAUGAUUUCCUCGAAGAAUAGUGAUUCUAUCUCUAUAACGAACUUUCAGAGCCACCAAAAGUGUGACUGUCUCCACUGAGUAGUACCCACGGUCUGCAUUUUAAUGUCAUUUUAUUAGUUGAACGUUAUAGUAGUAGUACCAUCUAUAGCAAGAUAAGAAAUUUACAUGCAUAACGAUCAGUCUAAAUUCCACAAAGUUUACUAUCAUGGGAAAGCAUGACUCAAACUAGAGAGGUAUUAAUUAAAACACAAAGGAAACCAAAAUAUAGCAAACCAUAAGUUCUGGGACACACUUUGUUGGAUAAUUACGAUUUCCAAACAGGCAAAAGCAAAAAUACUUCGUGACAAUAAUCAACAGCAUUUCUGUCAAGAACAUCAAACUAAUUGGUCAAUCUCAAAAAAAAUAAAAAAUAAAAAAUAAAAUAAUAAUAAUAAUAAUAAAUAAAUAAAUAAAUAAAAAGACAAAAAGGUAAAAGGGGAGAAAAUAGUAUCUUCUGACAUAGGGAAAAGAACAUUUUCUCCUAGGGAGAAGGUAAUAGAAAAAUGCAUUUAUCGCAGCGUAUUUCCUUAAAUCUCUAAGGGUGUGUUUGAUUACAUUUAUUUUCCAUGAAAAAUAUCAAUUUUCCACCCAAAUUCCUACUUGGAGUGUUUGAUUGCUAUUUUUUUCCAUGGAAAACAUUUUCCAACUUUUAAAAAUAUGCCUAAUUUUCCUUGUUUUUAAGAAAAAUAUUUUUUUUGGGUAGAGGUGGUUUUUAUUUUCCACAAAAGAUGAAAAAUAUUUUCUUUUCCAAGGUAAUAUUUUCCAUACCAAUCAAACACGCUCUAACUGUUUACAGAAAAAAGAGAAUCAAAAGCAGCAGCAAAUCUUGUUUCUAAGCACGUGCAGAAAAAAUACAUGUAACUCCACUGAUAAUAGUUAUGGUUGACAUCUAGACCUUAUAUUAGAUAUUGUAUGGAAAACAAAAUGUCUAAACAAUCAGAAUUUCAUAUUGUAAUGAAGUCAGCUAACAUUCCUUCAAAGUAUUAUCCAAAAUGAACUGCGCGCCGCAUUCACAGGAAUACAUGUCUUCACCCAUAAUUUCCUCAAAACACGAAUCAACUUCCCACCUUAUCAUUUGCUUUGGAACAACGUGUCAGCCACAUCAUAAAUAGACAAUUACGCAGCAGCCAAGUCACAAAUCGACAAUUAUAAGUCAGUCGUCGUUCCAAAAGAAGGGAAUGCCAAUCAACAUAAACCAAACCUUCCCUCCAUAAACGGAACAUUAUGCUCUGCUGUACCCAAAAUUCCCAAAUACUUGGUCAAUAGACAAAGUACAUAAACAUACAACCAUAAAUCGCUAAAGCCUAUUUUCAGGCCACAUGCAGAUAGCCGAUAACAGGAAAAAAUGCAGUGCCACAGAACCUGAAUAACAA